RNAcentral lists this ribosomal RNA (265 nucleotides) under uncultured archaeon. Its description in RNAcentral is "partial 16S ribosomal RNA". It matches the Rfam family "Archaeal small subunit ribosomal RNA", at positions 716 to 982 of the family's 1478-position model. The record is from RNAcentral.
AGACGUCUACAUUAGAUACCCGUGUACGUCCCAGCCGUAAACUAUGCGCGUUAGGUGUAUCGGUGACCACGAGUCACCGAGGUGCCGAAGGGAAACCGUGAAACGUGCCGCCUGGGAAGUACGGUCGCAAGGCUGAAACUUAAAGGAAUUGGCGGGGAGCACCACAACGGGUGGAGCCUGCGGUUUAAUUGGACUCAACGCCGGGAAGCUCACCGGAUAAGACAGCGGAAUGAUUGCCGGGCUGAAGACUCUGCAUGACUAGCUG